AUGUGACCCUGGUUUCGUUGACUGCACUCACCAAAAACAAUUUAGCAAAAAAAAAAAACAAUAAACGAAGAUGCCCAAGAAACCACCUUAGUCAUAUUUACGCUUCGCACCCGCUUCAUCCUUGUCCAACUAACUAAUCAGAACUGUUCUCACGGAUCCUUCAACUUUUUUAUUUUCUUUUCUGGUGUUUAAUUGACGACCCACCUGCCAAGCGUAAACCAUUUUUAUUGAUUGGUUUAUGCAACAGAAAUUUCCUCAGUUAGGGUUUUUAUAUAUAAUUUUUUUCUCAAUUUCUUAAUUCUUGUGAUCAUUAUUCGAAAUUUCAACCUACCCUUUGUAAUUCAUGGCUUCGAGUUUUGACCGGUGGGAAAAAGAUCCAUUUUUCAGGGCUGCCGAAGAAGUUCAGGAAUCUGCAGAUAGGAUGGAAUCUACAUAUAGGAUAUGGGUACACGCAACAAAAGAUGCGUCCAGCAUGUGGAACUCUGAUGAACUGUGCCGAGAUCUACAUACUGCCUUUGGCACUGCUAAAUGGCAGUUAGAGGAAUUUGAACGGGCAGUGAGGUCAAGUUAUAGCAAAAGCUCAAGCGAGGAAGCACGAAAUAGGCACAGAAAUUUUAUCACUGCCAUUGAUGAUAAGAUAAUGAAAGUUGAGCAUUUGUUAAAUGAAUCAAUGCCUCCGAACAGCAAAGCAUCUCUGCCUUGGUUGCGUUUAGAUGAAGGAGAACAGAAUGAGCUUGCUUUGUUUCUUUCAGGAAUGCCAGCAGCUACGACUACCAAUAACUCUUGGUCUAACAGCAGGGACAUUGAAAGUCCACAAUUAAGUGAUCAAGUUUCGGCCAGAAAUUAUUCAAAGAAUUUUGAUGUUUCAUCUCGGUGGGGUGAAUCAGAGGAGGAGAUAUCCCAUGGGCAUCGUAGGGUAGCUAGUGCCAGUGCUGAUAUCAGUUCUUGGAAAAUUUCAGUUUCUGAUGAUGCACAGCAAUGGAGUUCUUCCAGCGGUUCUUCUGGUCCGAUGCAUAAGGUAGCCAGUUUAUCAGGAUUUCUUAGUUCCAUGGAAUCUGUCUCUAAGUUGAAGUGGCCUGGGAAUGGUUAUAGAAAGCUGAAAGUAGAAGAUCCUCGUAAAGGAACUGAUAGUGCACUACUUUCAACAGCUCAAUUGAAUAGGGGAAAUGAUGUAUGCUACGAUAGAAAUAAGAGCAGCCUUGAUAGCUGUGAUAAAUUCUAUGACAAGCAACUCUAUGGAUGGUAUGGUACUAUUCAAAGGCAGCUUCAAAGAUCUCAAUACCAAAUGCAAUACCGUCAGCAUGUCCGAAUAAUUGUUUGGAUUGUUGUUCUCCUUUGCUUGAUCGCUUUAAUUGCAUUUCGCGCAAUGUAGAAGGAAGACAGAGAUACACGACUGUCCAUUUGUAGCUGGAGGCAGCACAAGAUACAAGCUUUUGAUAACACACGUUUAUAUAGCCUGGAUUGUCACUUGAUCAGGGUUCAGAGAGAUAGACAUUGGAACAGCAGCGUUGUUACAAACAAAACACGCAACAUAAACAAGGAAAAUAACUUCUCCCCUCAUGUUUUAUUCAUUAAUAGAAAACCCCACCUCUCAAUCAAACCCCUUAAGGCACAAUCUUGUAUUCUUUGGCCUUAUCUAUCCAAUUCACAAACGAAUCCUUGGAGUUUCUAAAUCCGAAAAAGCUAUGCUCUUUGGCCUUGUUCAUGCUAUCUAACACGGCCUCCAUUCCCAACAUAACAUCCGCAAACCACCAAUCCCCAACCUCUUCAAGCUUAGUUUGCUGCAACCCAUUCUCCCUCACUAUCUCUUCCCACACGGGACCCUUAUCCUUCAUCAUCUCCGACAACCUCAACUUAGAACCUUCUAGAAACCCAUAUUCCUCAAUCCCGAACCGUUCAGCCAACACCUUCCACAAAUGCUUCCACUUGUAAACAUCCCCAUUGCUGCAGUUAAAGACAUUGUUCUUGGCAUGAGGCUCCACCGUACCCCAAAUGUGCUGCUCCGCAAUCAAAUCAGCAUCGGAAGCAGCGGAAUAGCACUCCCACGCUUCUUUGAUACCUGGAAACCACAAGGGAACACCCUCAUGCUUGCAAAUAGCAGCAUAAACACAGAGAGUCCCAACAAGGUUCAUCAAACUGUAAGGAGAAAAACCAAAGAUAACAUGUGGUCGGUUAAUGAACCACGUCAACCCCUCCUUCUUUUGAACCUCUUCGAACAAUAUAUCUUCCUGGGUAUAAUAGAAAUUCGGUGCCUCCAAACGUGGUAAGUCCUCUGUGAACGGUGGGUCAUGGAAAUCGAUCUUCCCGAACAGUUCGAAUGGUCCUACGUAGUGCUUGGUACCUGUCUGGAGUGACACGUGGCGGAGAUUGGGAGCGUUUGGGAUGACCGCGCGUAGGACAUUUCUGAACAUGGCACCGUUGACCUCGCAGUUUUGGGCCUCCGUGGGUCUGCUUGUCCACGAAACGUAGAAGAUGUGAGUGACGUCGGUUAAACAUGAGAGCUUCGAUUCGGCGUCGUUUUGAGCGGAGAUAUCGCACUGGAUGUAGUGAACGGAAUGACCGGCGUUCCAGGUUGGUCGGGGACGGCGAGCGACUCCGUAAACCUUCCAUGGACCACCGGGUGUGUCGGUGAGAGGUAGAAUCUCCGCAAGGCUAUUGCCUACUAUGCCCGUCACGCCUAUAACGAGUGCCACGCUUUGUGGUGCUUGGGUUAGGUUAGAGUUCUGCAUGUGAACAAGAGAAAAUCAAAACAGUUAAAGGAGUAAAAGGAAAGUUAUAAAACAAAAUAGAACGGAAAAAUGAACUGUGAACAUGCUUUGACAAUGCUAUCGGUUGCUCCAGCCCACCACCUUUUCAUUUUUUCUGUGAUUUGGUUUGAUUUUGCAAAGCAACAAGAGCGGAUACCCCAAUGAAUUCAUUAUGUUUCUUCAUUUAUAAACAAUCUUGCUUUGAAUAGUUUUCAGAUGAACAUGAACACUAAUAUUAUU
This is an RNA transcript of Abrus precatorius (Indian licorice), 2987 nucleotides long. RefSeq lists it as uncharacterized. The transcript has 6 exons. The record is from RefSeq and is a predicted model, not a curated record. NCBI's taxonomy places the organism in Eukaryota, Viridiplantae, Streptophyta, Magnoliopsida, Fabales, Fabaceae.